RNAcentral lists this ribosomal RNA (253 nucleotides) under uncultured bacterium. RNAcentral describes it as "partial 16S ribosomal RNA". It matches the Rfam family "Bacterial small subunit ribosomal RNA", at positions 524 to 776 of the family's 1533-position model. The record is from RNAcentral.
UACGGGGAGGGCAAGCGUUGUUCGGAAUUACUGGGCGUAAAGGGCGCGUAGGCGGCCUUCUAAGUCGGACGUGAAAUCCCUCGGCUUAACCGAGGAACUGCGUCCGAUACUGAAAGGCUUGAAUCCGGGAGAGGGAUGUGGAAUUCCAGGUGUAGCGGUGGAAUGCGCAGAUAUCAGGAGGAACACCGAUGGCGAAGGCAGGUCUCUGGGCCACUACUGACGCUGAGAAGCGAAAGCAUGGGGAGCGAACAGG